CUACGGGCCGCAGCAGUAGGGAAUAUUGGACAAUGGGCGAAAGCCUGAUCCAGCAACACCGCGUGCACGAUGACGGCCUUCGGGUUGUAAAGUGCUUUUAGAGGAGAUGAGAAAGGACAGUAUCCUCUGAAUAAGCCUCGGCGAACUACGUGCCAGCAGCCGCGGUAAAACGUAGGAGGCAAGCGUUAUCCGGAUUUAUUGGGCGUAAAGCGCGUGCAGGCGGUCUAGCAAGUUGGAUGUGAAAGCUCCCGGCUCAACUGGGAGAGGUCGUUCAAUACUGUUAGACUAGAGAAUAGGAGAGGGAGGUGGAAUUCCGGGUGUAGUGGUGAAAUGCGUAGAUAUCCGGAGGAACACCAGUGGCGAAAGCGGCCUCCUGGACUAUUUCUGACGCUAAGACGCGAAAGCUAGGGUAGCAAACGGGAUUAGACCCGGGUAGUC
RNAcentral lists this ribosomal RNA (438 nucleotides) under uncultured bacterium. Its description in RNAcentral is "partial 16S ribosomal RNA". It matches the Rfam family "Bacterial small subunit ribosomal RNA", at positions 339 to 795 of the family's 1533-position model. The record is from RNAcentral.